ACUGAAUAGAUACCCUGGUAGUCCUGGCCCUAAACGAUGAAUACUUGGUGUCUAGGAGUCAUUAUUGCUCCGGGUGCCGUCGCUAAACGUUUAAGUAUUCCGCCUGGGGAGUACGCAACGCAAAGUGUGAAACGUCAAAGGAAUUGACGGGGACCCGCACAAGCGGUGGAGCAUGUGGUUUAAUUCGAACGCAACGCGAAGAACCUUACCUGGGCUAGAAUGCGAGGGAAGGUUGGGUAACGCCAACCGUCCGGGGAAACCGGACCCGAAGACAAGGUGCUGCAUGGCUGUCGUCAGCUCGUGUCGUGAGAUGUUGGGUUAAGUCCCGCAACGAGCGCAACCCUACUUGUA
RNAcentral lists this ribosomal RNA (351 nucleotides) under uncultured bacterium. RNAcentral describes it as "bacterial SSU rRNA". It matches the Rfam family "Bacterial small subunit ribosomal RNA", at positions 772 to 1112 of the family's 1533-position model. The record is from RNAcentral.